GUAAACCUACGGGGGGCAGCAGUAGGGAAUCUUCCACAAUGGGCGAAAGCCUGAUGGAGCAACGCCGCGUGGGUGAAGAAGGUCUUCGGAUCGUAAAACCCUGUUGUUAGAGAAGAAAGUGCGUGAGAGUAACUGUUCACAUUUCGACGGUAUCUAACCAGAAAGCCACGGCUAACUACGUGCCAGCAGCCGCGGUAAUACGUAGGUGGCAAGCGUUAUCCGGAUUUAUUGGGCGUGAAGAGAACGCAGGCGGUCUUUUAAGUC
Molecule: ribosomal RNA, 264 nt
Filed under: uncultured bacterium
Lineage: Bacteria
Description: partial 16S ribosomal RNA
Rfam family: Bacterial small subunit ribosomal RNA
Source: RNAcentral